This 309-nucleotide long non-coding RNA is filed under the name Elaeis guineensis (African oil palm). RNAcentral's name for it is "long non-coding RNA (EGUI_LNC002061)". The record is from RNAcentral. Lineage: Eukaryota; Viridiplantae; Streptophyta; Magnoliopsida; Arecales; Arecaceae.
AUAUGCUAGAUUGACUCGAUUCGAGUUCACUUAUGAAUCUCAUGAAAAUUUUUUUUCAGUAUUCACACUUACUCUGGUCAGAGUUUUUUUGAACUCAAUCUUAUAAAUUACAUAGGACUUCUUCUUUUCUACCAAGAUUGAUAGAUUCCAUCUAAGUGCAUCCUACUCCAAAUAACGAAUCUGAAUCUAUAAUAGCCAACAUACACAGUAAGGAUCCAAAUAGCUAGAGAUCAAGAGAAUAUGCAGUCAAACUAAGUAGUCUCACUAUGAAUAGCUAACACACCGCAGGUCAAAAGAUCAGUCACACCC